This 21-nucleotide non-coding RNA is filed under the name Caenorhabditis elegans. The record is from RNAcentral. Lineage: Eukaryota; Metazoa; Nematoda; Chromadorea; Rhabditida; Rhabditidae.
UUAGGGUUAACUAGAAACAAU